AAAAAAGUAGUUUAAUAAAAUAAUAGAUUGUCAUUCUAUAGAUGUACCUGUACCUUUUUUG
RNAcentral lists this transfer RNA (61 nucleotides) under Siphonodentalium lobatum. Its description in RNAcentral is "tRNA-Asp". It matches the Rfam family "tRNA". From Rfam's summary of the family: Transfer RNA (tRNA) molecules are approximately 80 nucleotides in length. Their secondary structure includes four short double-helical elements and three loops (D, anti-codon, and T loops). Further hydrogen bonds mediate the characteristic L-shaped molecular structure. tRNAs have two regions of fundamental functional importance: the anti-codon, which is responsible for specific mRNA codon recognition, and the 3' end, to which the tRNAs corresponding amino acid is attached (by aminoacyl-tRNA synthetases). tRNAs cope with the degeneracy of the genetic code in two manners: having more than one tRNA (with a specific anti-codon) for a particular amino acid; and 'wobble' base-pairing, i.e. permitting non-standard base-pairing at the 3rd anti-codon position. Lineage: Eukaryota; Metazoa; Mollusca; Scaphopoda; Gadilida; Siphonodentaliidae. The record is from RNAcentral.